GGAGGUAUAGCCCAGUUGGUUAGAGCGCUUGCUUGACAUGCAAGAGGUCACAAGUUCGAGUCUUGUUAUCUCCACCA
Molecule: transfer RNA, 77 nt
Filed under: Clostridia bacterium
Lineage: Bacteria; Bacillati; Bacillota; Clostridia
Description: tRNA-Val
Rfam family: tRNA
About the family: Transfer RNA (tRNA) molecules are approximately 80 nucleotides in length. Their secondary structure includes four short double-helical elements and three loops (D, anti-codon, and T loops).
Source: RNAcentral